UACGUAGGGUGCGAGCGUUAAUCGGAAUUACUGGGCGUAAAGCGUGCGCAGGCGGUUUUGUAAGACAGCUGUGAAAUCCCCGGGCUCAACCUGGGAACUGCGGUUGUGACUGCAAGACUUGAGUACGGCAGAGGGGGGUGGAAUUCCUGGUGUAGCAGUGAAAUGCGUAGAUAUCAGGAGGAACACCGAUGGCGAAGGCAGCCCCCUGGGCCUGUACUGACGCUCAUGCACGAAAGCGUGGGGAGCAAAC
RNAcentral lists this ribosomal RNA (250 nucleotides) under uncultured bacterium. Its description in RNAcentral is "partial 16S ribosomal RNA". It matches the Rfam family "Bacterial small subunit ribosomal RNA", at positions 524 to 773 of the family's 1533-position model. The record is from RNAcentral.